CCUACGGGUGGCAGCAGUGAGGAAUCUUGGUCAAUGGACGAGAGUCUGAACCAGCCAAGUAGCGUGAAGGAUGAAUGCCCUCUGGGUUGUAAACUUCUUUUAUAUGGGAAUAAAACAGGGUAUGCAUACCCUCUUGUAUGUACCAUAUGAAUAAGGAUCGGCUAACUCUGUGCCAGUAGCCGCGGUAAUACGGAGGAUCAGAGCGUUCUCCGGAUUUAUUGGGUGUAAAGGGAGCGUAGGUGGAUUGUUAUGUAAGUUGGGAAAGUUUGCGGCUCAACCGUAAAAUUGCUGUUGAAACUGGCAGUCUUGAGUACAGUAGAGGUGAGCGGAAUUCGUGGUGUAGCGUUGAAAUGCUUAGAUAUCACGAAGAACUCCGAUUGCGAAAGCAGCUCACUGGACUGCAACUGACACUGAUGCUCGAAAGUGUGGGUAUCAAACAGGAUUAGAUACCCUUGUAGUC
This 460-nucleotide ribosomal RNA is filed under the name uncultured bacterium. RNAcentral's name for it is "partial 16S ribosomal RNA". It matches the Rfam family "Bacterial small subunit ribosomal RNA", at positions 338 to 795 of the family's 1533-position model. The record is from RNAcentral.